This is a long non-coding RNA of Homo sapiens (human), 1581 nucleotides long. Ensembl annotates it as long intergenic non-protein coding RNA 1505. The record is from Ensembl. NCBI's taxonomy places the organism in Eukaryota, Metazoa, Chordata, Mammalia, Primates, Hominidae.
AGUCCAGGUAAUGGAGCAGAGACUGGAGCAGAGACAAGUUGUUCCCACUGAGCUCUCCUCAGAUUACAGAUUGGUGAUACAUCACAGGGGCUCAUGAAUGUGUCUUAAGCUGGGUCAUUGAAGUGGAAUGUUUUCACAAGACCUCCUCCACUUGCUACUGUGUCCGGAAUUGGUGGGUUCUUGGUCUCACUGACUUCAAGAAUGAAGCCGCGGACCCUCGCGGGAGUGGCAAAUCAAAGGCAUUGCAGCCUCUUUCAUCACUGCCGAUUGCUGAUGCCAACCAUGUGCCAAGUGCUUAAUACGUCACCUUAAAUCUUCUCAUCCACCCUCAGAGUAGCUGCAGCAUCAACCCAGUGCCCUGACUUUCAAGACGACUAUGAAAACACCCCAACUGCUGCUAAAUUACCAGCAACAAGGAUCUGGAAUUUUCCUGACAAGAGCAGUGCCUAUCCUGAGGCAAUCGUAUUUCUCCUUGACUUCUCUCCAGUAUCAGCUUGUUGCUUGACACCCCUGCACAGCCAACUGUGUAAUGUGGACAUUCUUAUUCAAAAGAAAGAACACCGAAAUUGACCUUACCCUGACAAUAUGAUGGCUGAAGGAUUUAUGAUCACUUAUAACAUUUGAAAUUGAGGCGGAACCUGAAGAAUAAGACUCUGGUGAAAGGUCCUAUUUAUGCUUUUGAUGUCUUUCACUUGGACAUUUACCACAUGCCUAUUGGUAGGUUUGUUACAUAGGUCAGUUAAGGUGAUACAAGAAUAAAUAAAACACUAUCCCUAUCCUUUAAUAUCAUUUAUUUAUGGGGUCAAUCACAGAUUUUCAUUUUUCAAAAUCUUUGAUAAAUGUCAGAAUUAUGUUUUUUAAUAUUUUUACAGAAUUAUUACAAUAUAUGGUAGAGGAUGGAAGGCAAGGUAGUAUGAAACGGAAAAGAUAUUUUGAAUUAAGGUAUUUGGACCUGGAUUAAUAUUUUUGCUUUGGUCUUUAUUAGCUGAGUGACCUUGAGAAAGUUCUUCUACUAAAAAAGAACAAAGAUAAUAAUUACUUCAUGAAAUUGCUGUAAAAAACACAUAACAAGUAUAUCCAGACUCAACAGUGUAUGCUCAAAAAUGCAGAUCCUUUUUCCCUUACCUGCAAAUAAAGUCUUACAGUAAUACAGUGGGGGUAAAGGUUUAAACUGGUGGAUUCAAGAAGGGCUAUAGAAAGAGGUAGCAUCUUAAUAGGGGAAGGAGAGGAUCCAAGAAAUCAGAUCCAUUUUCUACAAAAAGAAAUGGGAAGACAGAUAAUUCAAGAAGAAAAGUUUACAUGAUUAAAGACCCGAAGUUAGAAAUAGUGAUGUGUCUCAAUAGUAAGUUAGGAAUUGGGGUGGACACAAUUGUUGGAAGAAGGAUGGUUUCAGCAAAGGCCCAAGUUAGGUGACAAUUUCAAGUGUUUGUGAAGAUAUAUGAACAAAAUUAUAAAGUAGUUAGGGUAUAAGAAAUAGGGAGGAGGGAAUGAAUUAACAUUUAUGGAGUGUCUUGCAUGUUCCAAGCACUGUACUACUUGCCUUAUAAACCUUUCUUCAAUAAACGCCUACAACAAUCCUGA